UACGUAGGUCCCGAGCGUUGUCUGGAUUUAUUGGGCGUAAAGCGAGCGCAGGUGGUUUAUUAAGUCUGGUGUAAAAGGCAGUGGCUCAACCAUUGUAUGCAUUGGAAACUGGUAGACUUAAGUGCAGGAGAGGAGAGUGGAAUUCCAUGUGUAGCGGUGAAAUGCGUAGAUAUAUGGAGGAACACCGGUGGCGAAAGCGGCUCUCUGGCCUGUAACUGACACUGAGGCUCGAAAGCGUGGGGAGCAAACAGG
This 252-nucleotide ribosomal RNA is filed under the name uncultured bacterium. RNAcentral's name for it is "partial 16S ribosomal RNA". It matches the Rfam family "Bacterial small subunit ribosomal RNA", at positions 524 to 776 of the family's 1533-position model. The record is from RNAcentral.